Molecule: ribosomal RNA, 544 nt
Filed under: uncultured bacterium
Lineage: Bacteria
Description: bacterial SSU rRNA
Rfam family: Bacterial small subunit ribosomal RNA
Source: RNAcentral
AGUGGCGCACGGGUGAGUAACACGUAGCUAACCUGCCCUCGAGCGGGGGAUAACCUGGGGAAACCCGGGCUAAUACCGCAUGACAUCCCGAUGGCGCAAGCCAAUGGGAUCAAAGGCCCGCAAGGGUCACUCGGGGAGGGGGCUGCGGCCGAUUAGCUAGUUGGUGAGGUAACGGCCCACCAAGGCAAUGAUCGGUAGCCGGCCUGAGAGGGCGCACGGCCACACUGGCACUGAAACACGGGCCAGACUCCUACGGGAGGCAGCAGUGGGGAAUUUUGCACAAUGCCCGAAAGGGUGAUGCAGCAACGCCGCGUGAGGGAUGAAGGCCUUCGGGUCGUAAACCUCUUUCGACCGGGAAAAAUGGGCGGGUGAAUAAUCCGCUCUGAUGGUACCGGUGGAAGAAGCCCCGGCUAACUACGUGCCAGCAGCCGCGGUAAUACGUAGGGGGCGAGCGUUGUUCGGAAUUACUGGGCGUAAAGGGCGUGUAGGCGGUGCGAUAAGUCGGGCGUGAAAUCCCCAGGCUCAACUUGGGGCGGCCGCUCGA